Molecule: long non-coding RNA, 151 nt
Organism: Frankliniella occidentalis (western flower thrips)
Lineage: Eukaryota; Metazoa; Arthropoda; Insecta; Thysanoptera; Thripidae
Exons: 3
Source: RefSeq, a predicted model, not a curated record
ACCUGCGAACGCAGCCCAGCUGACUGCCAUCACUGUCAGUCGCUGCCGGAUCACCAUUCGAUAAUCAACACCAUGCGCGAAGUCAUCUCCGUCCAUGUGGGGCAGGCCGGCGUUCAGAUGGGCAACGCGGCCUGGGAGCUGUAUUGUUUAG